This 468-nucleotide ribosomal RNA is filed under the name uncultured bacterium. RNAcentral describes it as "partial 16S ribosomal RNA". It matches the Rfam family "Bacterial small subunit ribosomal RNA", at positions 28 to 507 of the family's 1533-position model. The record is from RNAcentral.
GACGAACGCUGGCGGCGUGCUUAACACAUGCAAGUCGAACGGUGAAGCUCCAGCUUGCUGGAGUGGAUCAGUGGCGAACGGGUGAGUAACACGUGAGCAACCUGCCCCUGACUCUGGAAUAAGCGCUGGAAACGGCGUCUAAUACUGGAUACGAGAAGGGUCCGCAUGGGCACUUUCUGGAAAGUUUUUCGGUUGGGGAUGGGCUCGCGGCCUAUCAGCUUGUUGGUGAGGUAAUGGCUCACCAAGGCAACGACGGGUAGCCGGCCUGAGAGGGCGACCAGGCACACUGGGACUGAGACACGGCCCAGACUCCUACGGGAGGCAGCAGUGGGGAAUAUUGCACAAUGGGCGAAAGCCUGAUGCAGCGACGCCGCGUGAGGGAUGACGGCCUUCGGGUUGUAAACCUCUUUCAGCAGGGAAGAAGCGAAAGUGACGGUACCUGCAGAAGAAGCACCGGCUAACUACGUG